GAUGAACGCUAGCGGCAGGCCUAAUACAUGCAAGUCGAACGGGUGGUCGCAAGACCACUAGUGGCGCACGGGUGCGUAACGCGUAACCAACCUGCCCCGAUCUGGGGGAUAGCCCGCCGAAAGGCGGAUUAAUACCGCAUAUACCCGCAGCCUGGCAUCAGGCAACGGGGAAAGAUUUAUUGGAUCGGGAUGGGGUUGCGUGACAUUAGCUAGUUGGCGGGGUAAGGGCCCACCAAGGCGACGAUGUCUAGGGGACCUGAGAGGGUGAUCCCCCACACUGGCACUGAGAUACGGGCCAGACGCCUACGGGAGGCAGCAGUAGGGAAUAUUGGGCAAUGGGCGAGAGCCUGACCCAGCCAUGCCGCGUGCCGGAUGAAGGCCUUCUGGGUUGUAAACGGCUUUUCUCAGGGAAGAAAAAGACCUUGCGAGGUACACUGACGGUACCUGAGGAAUAAGCACCGACUAACUCCGUG
RNAcentral lists this ribosomal RNA (473 nucleotides) under uncultured bacterium. Its description in RNAcentral is "partial 16S ribosomal RNA". It matches the Rfam family "Bacterial small subunit ribosomal RNA", at positions 28 to 507 of the family's 1533-position model. The record is from RNAcentral.